This 2627-nucleotide long non-coding RNA is filed under the name Homo sapiens (human). RNAcentral's name for it is "HSALNT0247057". The record is from RNAcentral. Lineage: Eukaryota; Metazoa; Chordata; Mammalia; Primates; Hominidae.
CCUGCCCUAGGAAGUGUGGAGGGGCCACCCCAGGUCCACCUACUCCACUGGAGUGUCAGAGGAAGAAAGCGCUUCCUUCAACUGGCCUCUGACCCACCACCUUCCAGCUCCAAGGGUCUCACUCUGUUGUUCAGGCCAAAGUGAAGUGGUGUGAUCACGGUUCACUGCAACCUCAAACUCCUGGGCUCAAUCGAGCCUCCCACCUUAGCCACCCAAAGUACUGGAAUUACAGGCUUGAGCCACAGUAGCUGGUAAGAAUAAUUUUUCAUAUAUUAACUUCUGUGUUUUUCCUUAGAGUUCUCUCUUUCUUCUUCUCCUUAUAAGAAUGCACCCAGGCAUUCUGCUUGUCUCAGGAGGUUGUUGGCAGAGUGGAAAGCAGAAGUUGUCUGCAAGACAUUUCCUUCCUGUCUUUUAUUUCCAAAACACUAUGCUCAGUGAGGAACCUGUCUCAGUCAAGGGGGAGAGGGCCAGGGAGAAGGCAUAUCUUUGAGGGAAUCUGGAAAGCAGAGAAGGAUUUUCUCUAGAAUAAGAAUCAAGUAUCCCCGACCUGGAGUUGGAAGGAGGUGGUCCUAUGCCCUCCUGUCUGGCAGCUCCCAGGGGAGGUGAUUCAACCUUAGAAAAAUAGCUUUGUUAUUCCCAGCUUCUGCAUCUCUUUCUCUGUGAGGACAGAGAAUAGCUAGCAUUUUCUGUACCAUCACUGUGUGCCCAGCUCUUCUAGUAAUUCAACUUCUAUCAUUAACACCAGUUUACAGAGGAAGGAACUACGGCACAGAGAUGUUGGGUAACUUGCCUCAGAUCUCACAACUCGUCAGCAGUGUUGAUAGAAUUUGCCUCCAGCCCUCCUUGACUCCUAAACCCAUAUUUUUUUCUUCUCUUUCUAAAAAAGUUAUUAUUUAGCCAUCAAAUGAAUGAACCAAAACUAUUUUUUUUAAUUUAUUUUUAGUAGAGAUGGGGUUUUGCCAUGUUGCCCAGGCUGGUCUCGAAAUACUGGCCUCAAAUGAUCCGCCCACCUCAGCCUCCCAAAGUGCUGGGAUUACAGGCAUGAGCCACCAGGCCCAGCAUAAACCUGUAUUUUUAACUACCUCCCACCACCUUCCCUCAAUUGCCCUACUGCCCUACCCCAGUCGAUGUAUUUUUUCUUAUGCCUCUAGUCCACCUUGCACAGAUCACAAUUAUAGUACUUAUUAUACACAUAGUAGGUGCUGAGUAAAUACGUGAUGAAAAAUAAGUGAAGAUUUCUAUUUCAUCUGAUAGGCUCAGCUGGGUGUCUAGACCAACUUUCCCUCACUGAAAACAAAAACAAAAAUACUGGGCAAAAUAAUAAAAAUAUAUUCUGGAAGGCAUCUAUAAACUGGCAAGAAAUUAAGAAAUUGCCCCAGGACAGGGUGAAGGUCAGAACCCAGAGAGGUAAGCCGAGCCCAAAGUCAGCAUAUGCCUGGAGGAUUUUUGCUGAAUCUAGUGAGUUUGAACGUUGAUUUUUGAAGCCUUGGGAGUUUUGUGCAGCAGAAGUAAAGGUUAGCAUGUACUUUAAGUAGGGAGAUUAAUAGAAGACCCAAUAAAUACAGAAUUGCAAAAGCAAAAUAGUAGAAUAAGAAAAAAAAUUACUUCUCAAGCCGACCCAGAAACCUCACUAAAGCUGGUAACAUAUGAACAUAUAAAACACAUAUAGGCCGGGUGCAGUGGCUCACACCUGUAAUCCCAGCACUUUGGGAGGCCGAGACAGGCCGAUCACUUGAGGUCAGGAGUUCGAGGCUAGCCUGGCCAACAUGGUGAAACCCGUCUCUACUAAAAACACAAAAAUUAGCCAGGUGUGGUGGCGCACAACUGUAGUCCCAGCUACUCAGGAGGCUGAGGUAGGAGAAUCACUUGAACCCAAGACACAGAGGCAGUGAGCCAAGAUGGGGCCACUGCACUCCAGCCUGAGCAACAGAGCUAGACUUCAUCUCAAAAACUAAAUAAAUAAAUAAAUAAAAUAAAUAAAGCAAGUCUUAACAAAUCUGAAAAUUUUGAAUGCAUUGGCCAGACGCAGUGGCUCACAACUGUAAUCCCAGCACUUCAGGAAACCAAAUCAGGAAGAUAGCUUGAGCUUGGGAGGAUUGCUUGAGCUCAGGAGUUUGAGACCAGCCUGAGCAACAUAGAGAGACCUCAUCUCUACUAAAAAUGUAAUAAAUUAGCUGGCUGUGGUAGCGUGUGCCUGUAGUCCCAGCUACUCGGGAAGAUGAGGUGGGAGGAUUGAUUGAGCCUAAGAGGUCAAGGUCGCAGUGAGCCCAGAUUGUACCACUGCACUCCAGCCUGGGCAAUAGAGCACGACCCUGUCUCAAGAAGAAUGAAAGAGAGAGAGAAAAGAAAGAAAGGAAAAUGUUUAUCAUACAGACUAUAUCCUCUGAACACAAUGCAAUUAAGACAAGAAUCGGCCGGGCCCAGUGGCUCACGCCUGUAAUCCCAGCACUUUGGGAGGCCGAGGCGGGCAGAUCACGAGGUCAGGAGAUCGAGACUAUCCUGGCUAACACGGUGAAAUCUCGUCUCUACUAAAAAUACCAAAAAAAAAAAAAAUUAGCCGGGCAUGGUGGCAGGCGCCUGUAGUCCCGCUACUUGGGAGGCUGAGGCAGAAGAAUGGUGUGAACCCA